GGGGGUGGGUGGAUAUGGGGGACUUUUGGUAUAGCAUUGGAAAUGUAAAUGAGUUAAAUACCUAAUAAAAAAUGGAAAAAAAAUACAUUUUUUUUCAGAUGAUUUAGUCUAACCAUACCAAUUUCCCAUCAGCUUUAAAGGAGAGUUACAAUGAGCAGUGUAAGUCAGUAACUUAUCUAGUAGAAACCAGCCAGAAUGCACACAGAGCCAGGCCUGUUGGUACACACUGGGCAUCUUAGCACUUGGUAGCUACAAGCAGGAGGAGAAUGAGUUUGAGACUAGCCUGAGCUACAUAAAAUCCUGUUUUAAAAAACAAAACAAAGUCAGACAAAGUGUGCUUUGUGCUUGUGUAGGUAGCUUCCAUAGCACCGGAUCCUUCCUUGAAAAUUUCAGUCUCUCAGCUAACAUCAGGAUAUGGGAUCUUUUAAUAGAUACUGAUAAUAAAUUAAGUAAAGAUCAGAAGCCUCAUUUUUUUUCCUUGUAAAAAAUGAAGAGUUCUGUUCUUUUCAGCUAUACUUUAGUGUGAAAGAGACAGUGUUGAGAAGUGCCCCUUUCUCCUCUCCUCAUGGACUUGGGUUUGCUUCUUAAAGCAAUGAAGAGAAUGCCCUGUAGGCUCAUACCAUAUAAAGCAUUCCGGAAUCAUUCUCCUUCAGGCUUUAGGGAGAAGAGAAAAUAUGUCCAAAUCAUAAGCCACACUGAGGGAGAAGCAAAGUCCAGGUGGCCAAACCGUGCACUGUUCCAUGGAGGGACCAAAAGAUGGAUAGAUUACAACUCAAGAAUGGCUGUGGGACUCAAUGGUUCCAGUUCUCAAGUGGUUUCUUUUCUGUUCUUUAGAGGAUCAGGGCCAGGUAUAUCCCUCCUCCUCCCUCCAUAUAAACAUUAGUUUUGUGUGUGGAUCUGUCUGCUUUGUCCUUCAUGUGGCCUCUAAGGGUGAUAAAGCGAGAGUCAUCUGAUCUACAGUGAACAGAACUGGGAAGUGGUUCUCAGCAGACCCAGCUGUUCCGACAUGCAAAUGCUCAGUGCACCAAGAAGUCAAACGUACAGUAACCUCCUUAAGGUCAUACCCACAUAACUCAUCACAUUUGAAACCAACCCCCUUCUUAACCCUUUAUUCUCUAAUUCAGGGUACUUUAUAAAAUGUUUUGCCUUGCACCCUAGUUUUCAAUGUUAGAACAAUCUAUAUUACUAUAUUAUUAACAUUAUAUUUGAAGACAUAUCAGUAAGUAUUCUUUAUAUUUUGCAGACAGAUAUAAAAAGAACCUUGCUUAAAUAGUUCCUGAAAACCUAGAAGGCAGUUAGCUUGAAUAGUUGAACUACUACUUAGUGCCAAUGUCAUGUAUAGUAAUAACUUAAAAAAAUUAAUAUAUCAAUCUGAAUUGUUUCUAAUUGAAAAAUGAGUUCUUUUUAACCUUGAUUUUUGUUUCACAUUUCCAUACAAGACUUCUGUUUUCACAAUGUCAUAGAAUCAAGUGACAUGUUAGAGUAUUUUUGCCAAACUGUAGUGCAAGUGCCAAGGCAUUUCUUUCCUUGCAGCUCAGACCAGGUAUAAACAUUUUAGAAACCAUGUUUUAGGGAUGACUCCCCUCACCCCCAUCCUGGCAGUACACAUGUUGUAACACAAACACCAGAGAAUCACACAUCUAAGCUAAUGCUUAAAAAUAUCUGGAAGGGACCAUGUAUUUGCCCUAUAGUAAAGGUAUUUUCUUUACAUUCAUUCUUGUUUGAAUUUACUUCAAAACCAACUUAUAUUUAGAUGUCAAUAUUGAUAGUUCAUUUCAGUGUUUCCUAAAUGUAUGAAAUCUUAAGAUGUUCACAAUAAUUUCCUCAGUAAGCAUUGACAAUAGUCCCUAGAAUGGAACAAUACACACCCAAGACACCAGUUCCUCAACACACUUCUAAAUUUUCAUUAACAUAAAAUAACCUGUAAAUUAAUAGGUAGCCGGAACUGUACAUGGGAAAGCUGGCUGCUGGUUCACCUGGUUUAUUGUGAAUUCCAGUAAAGUAUUUUACUCUAAAAAAAAUAGAGACAUAAUUCUAGCCAGAAAUGUUAAAAGUAUAUAGAAACAUAUGUGGUACAGAGUAUAUAAGUCAAGACUCCUGUACUGCAAGGCUUACAUUAGAGAGUGAAGGAGAAAUGUAUUAUUUACAUUGAGAUUAGCUACUGGUGUGUGCCGAAAGUUUAAAUUAGCUGCAAGAAAUUUUAUCUAGACUUGCACCUGCCUAGUGCUCGAAGUUGGUAUUUACUGGGCAGAUUAAUUACACACGUUCUUCUGUGCCUUUAAAUAUGAUCAGGCAGAUGCAGGCACUGUUCAUAGUGAGCGCAUUUCUUCUAAGUGCCUUUGGGAUAGAGAGUUAUUACAUCAUCACAAAUUUCCAAAUUAACAUACAUCUCAUACAUCACUUAAGGAGUGAUUUAAAUGUUAUUUGCUAUGUAAUUUGGUCCUUGCUUUAGACGUUGAUAAGCUCCCAUUUGCUUAUUUUUGAGUCUUCUGAGCAAGGUUUACCUUCACAAAUUCAUCUGGCUAUUCUGACAGCAUUCUUUACUUUGUGUAAAGAAAUAUG
Molecule: long non-coding RNA, 2562 nt
Filed under: Mus musculus (house mouse)
Lineage: Eukaryota; Metazoa; Chordata; Mammalia; Rodentia; Muridae
Description: long non-coding RNA chr4:99764239-99766801
Source: RNAcentral